GACGAACGCUGGCGGCGUGCUUAACACAUGCAAGUCGAACGGAAAGGCCCUGCUUUUGUGGUGUUCUCGAGUCGCGAACGGGUGAGUGACACGUUAGUACCCUGCCCUUCUCCUUGGGACAACUUCAGGACAUUGGGGCUAAUACCGUAUAGGCCCUUCUGCUGCCAGGUGGGGGUUGGAAUGUUUCGGCGGUUGGGGAUGGACUCGCUGCGGAUCAGUUUGUUGGUGGGGUAGUGGCUGAGCAGGGCUUCGACGGGUAGCCGGCCUGAGAGGGGGACCGGCAACCUUGGGACUGAGAUACGGCCCAGAGUCCUACGGAAGGCAGCAGUGGGGAAUAUUGCACAAUGGGGCGAAGCCGGAUGCAGCAAGGCGGCGUGCGGGAUGACGGCCUUCGGGUUGAAAACCGCUUUGGCCGGUAACGAAGCGUGAGUGACGGUAACGUGUAAAGAAGCACCGGCUAACUACGUG
This 468-nucleotide ribosomal RNA is filed under the name uncultured bacterium. RNAcentral's name for it is "partial 16S ribosomal RNA". It matches the Rfam family "Bacterial small subunit ribosomal RNA", at positions 28 to 507 of the family's 1533-position model. The record is from RNAcentral.